AGUGGUCAUAGCCACUAUAAACAGGGCUUUAAGCUAUGAGCGUUCCUGCUCUUUAGGGCAGGAGGUAGUC
Molecule: ribozyme, 70 nt
Filed under: unclassified sequences
Description: pistol ribozyme
Rfam family: Pistol ribozyme
Source: RNAcentral